UGGAAGGGUGGCCGAGUGGUUUAUGGCGUCCGUCUGAUAAACGGAUAGACUUCUUCGAAGUCUCGAGGGUUCGAAUCCCUUCCCUUAAU
This 89-nucleotide transfer RNA is filed under the name Lysinibacillus sphaericus. RNAcentral's name for it is "tRNA-Ile". It matches the Rfam family "tRNA". From Rfam's summary of the family: Transfer RNA (tRNA) molecules are approximately 80 nucleotides in length. Their secondary structure includes four short double-helical elements and three loops (D, anti-codon, and T loops). Lineage: Bacteria; Bacillati; Bacillota; Bacilli; Caryophanales; Bacillaceae. The record is from RNAcentral.